This 2915-nucleotide ribosomal RNA is filed under the name Aeromonas hydrophila. Its description in RNAcentral is "23S ribosomal RNA". It matches the Rfam family "Bacterial large subunit ribosomal RNA". Lineage: Bacteria; Pseudomonadati; Pseudomonadota; Gammaproteobacteria; Aeromonadales; Aeromonadaceae. The record is from RNAcentral.
GUUGUAUGGUUAAGUGACUAAGCGUACAUGGUGGAUGCCUUGGCAGUCAGAGGCGAUGAAGGACGUACUAACCUGCGAUAAGCCGUGAGCAGUCGGUAAGAGACAUUACGACUCACGGAUUUCCGAAUGGGGAAACCCACUUAGCAUAAGCUAGGUAUCGCUGCGUGAAUACAUAGCGUAGCGAGGCGAACCGGGAGAACUGAAACAUCUAAGUACCCCGAGGAAAAGAAAUCAACCGAGAUUCCCUCAGUAGCGGCGAGCGAACGGGGAUUAGCCCUUAAGCAUCUUGGAAGUUAGUGGAACGGUCCUGGAAAGGCCGGCGAUACAGGGUGAUAGCCCCGUACACGAAAACAACCUUGAUGUGAAAUCGAGUAGGGCGGGACACGUGACAUCCUGUCUGAAUAUGGGGGACCAUCCUCCAAGGCUAAAUACUCCUGACUGACCGAUAGUGAACCAGUACCGUGAGGGAAAGGCGAAAAGAACCCCUGUGAGGGGAGUGAAAUAGAACCUGAAACCGUGUACGUACAAGCAGUGGGAGCCCUUCGGGGUGACUGCGUACCUUUUGUAUAAUGGGUCAGCGACUUACAUUUUGUAGCGAGGUUAACCGUAUAGGGGAGCCGUAGGGAAACCGAGUCUUAACUGGGCGUCUAGUUGCAAGGUGUAGACCCGAAACCGGGUGAUCUAGCCAUGGGCAGGUUGAAGGUUGAGUAACAUCAACUGGAGGACCGAACCCACUAACGUUGCAAAGUUAGGGGAUGACCUGUGGCUGGGGGUGAAAGGCCAAUCAAACUCGGAGAUAGCUGGUUCUCCCCGAAAGCUAUUUAGGUAGCGCCUCGGACGAAUACUACUGGGGGUAGAGCACUGUUUGGGCUAGGGGGUCAUCCCGACUUACCAACCCCAUGCAAACUCCGAAUACCAGUAAGUAAUAUCCGGGAGACACACGGCGGGUGCUAACGUCCGUCGUGAAGAGGGAAACAACCCAGACCGCCGGCUAAGGUCCCAAAGUUCUGGUUAAGUGGGAAACGAUGUGGGAAGGCUCAGACAGCUAGGAUGUUGGCUUAGAAGCAGCCAUCAUUUAAAGAAAGCGUAAUAGCUCACUAGUCGAGUCGGCCUGCGCGGAAGAUGUAACGGGGCUCAAACCAGGCACCGAAGCCGCGGAUUCACGCUAAGCGUGAGUGGUAGGGGAGCGUUCUGUAAGUCUGCGAAGGUGUGUCGAGAGGCAUGCUGGAGAUAUCAGAAGUGCGAAUGCUGACGUAAGUAACGAUAAAGGGGGUGAAAAGCCUCCUCGCCGGAAGACCAAGGGUUCCUGUCCAACGUUAAUCGGGGCAGGGUGAGUCGACCCCUAAGGCGAGGCCGAAAGGCGUAGUCGAUGGGAAGCAGGUUAAUAUUCCUGCACGACUUGUAAUUGCGAUGGGGGACGGAGAAGGCUAGGUGGGCCAGGCGACGGUUGUCCUGGUGAAAGUGCGUAGGUGGUGUUUCUAGGCAAAUCCGGAGACACAACACUGAGACACGAGACGAACACACUACGGUGUGGAAGCCAUUGAUGCCCUGCUUCCAGGAAAAGCCUCUAAGCUUCAGAUUACAAGUCAUCGUACCCCAAACCGACACAGGUGGUCGGGUAGAGAAUACCAAGGCGCUUGAGAGAACUCGGGUGAAGGAACUAGGCAAAAUAGAACCGUAACUUCGGGAGAAGGUUCGCUCUUGACAGUGAAGUCCCUUGCGGAUGGAGCAGUUGGGAGUCGCAGUGACCAGAUGGCUGGGACUGUUUAUCAAAAACACAGCACUCUGCAAACACGAAAGUGGACGUAUAGGGUGUGACACCUGCCCGGUGCCGGAAGGUUAAUUGAUGGGGUUAGCGCAAGCGAAGCUCUUGAUCGAAGCCCCGGUAAACGGCGGCCGUAACUAUAACGGUCCUAAGGUAGCGAAAUUCCUUGUCGGGUAAGUUCCGACCUGCACGAAUGGUGUAACCAUGGCCAUGCUGUCUCCACCCGAGACUCAGUGAAAUCGAAUUCGCCGUGAAGAUGCGGUGUACCCGCGGCUAGACGGAAAGACCCCGUGAACCUUUACUACAGCUUGGCACUGAACAUUGAACCUACAUGUGUAGGAUAGGUGGGAGGCUUUGAAGGCGUGACGCCAGUUGCGCUGGAGCCGUCCUUGAAAUACCACCCUUGUAUGUUUGAUGUUCUAACGCAGGCCCAUGAAUCUGGGUCGCGGACAGUGCCUGGUGGGUAGUUUGACUGGGGCGGUCUCCUCCCAAAGAGUAACGGAGGAGCACGAAGGUUGGCUAAUCCUGGUCGGACAUCAGGAGGUUAGUGCAAUGGCAUAAGCCAGCUUAACUGCGAGACGGACAGGUCGAGCAGGUACGAAAGUAGGUCAUAGUGAUCCGGUGGUUCUGAAUGGAAGGGCCAUCGCUCAACGGAUAAAAGGUACUCCGGGGAUAACAGGCUGAUACCGCCCAAGAGUUCAUAUCGACGGCGGUGUUUGGCACCUCGAUGUCGGCUCAUCACAUCCUGGGGCUGAAGUCGGUCCCAAGGGUAUGGCUGUUCGCCAUUUAAAGUGGUACGCGAGCUGGGUUCAGAACGUCGUGAGACAGUUCGGUCCCUAUCUGCCGUGGGCGUUGGAUGAUUGAAGGGAGUUGCUCCUAGUACGAGAGGACCGGAGUGAACGAACCUCUGGUGUUCGGGUUGUCACGCCAGUGGCACUGCCCGGUAGCUAAGUUCGGAAUCGAUAACCGCUGAAAGCAUCUAAGCGGGAAGCGAGCCCUGAGAUGAGUCAUCCCUGACCCCUUGAGGGUCCUAAAGGGCCGUUGGAGACCACAACGUUGAUAGGUGGGGUGUGUAAGCGCGGCGACGUGUUGAGCUAACCCAUACUAAUUACCCGUGAGGCUUAACCAUACAACACCCAAGAAGUGUUCU